RNAcentral lists this ribosomal RNA (520 nucleotides) under Cryptosporidium ryanae. RNAcentral describes it as "SSU rRNA". It matches the Rfam family "Eukaryotic small subunit ribosomal RNA", at positions 325 to 883 of the family's 1831-position model. The record is from RNAcentral. Lineage: Eukaryota; Apicomplexa; Conoidasida; Eucoccidiorida; Cryptosporidiidae.
ACGGUAGGGUAUUGGCCUACCGUGGCUAUGACGGGUAACGGGGAAUUAGGGUUCGAUUCCGGAGAGGGAGCCUGAGAAACGGCUACCACAUCUAAGGAAGGCAGCAGGCGCGCAAAUUACCCAAUCCUAAUACAGGGAGGUAGUGACAAGAAAUAACAAUACAGAGCCUUACGGUUUUGUAAUUGGAAUGAGUUAAGUAUAAACCCCUUAACAAGUAUCAAUUGGAGGGCAAGUCUGGUGCCAGCAGCCGCGGUAAUUCCAGCUCCAAUAGCGUAUAUUAAAGUUGUUGCAGUUAAAAAGCUCGUAGUUAAUUUUCUGUUAAUUUUUAUAUACAAUGCUACGGUAUUUAUAUAAUAUUAACAUAAUUCAUAUUACUUUUUAGUAUAUGAAACUUUACUUUGAGAAAAUUAGAGUGCUUAAAGCAGGCUAUUGCCUUGAAUACUCCAGCAUGGAAUAAUAUUAAGGAUUUUUAUUCUUCUUAUUGGUUCUAGAAUAAAAAUAAUGAUUAAUAGGGACAGUU